Molecule: long non-coding RNA, 450 nt
Organism: Daphnia magna
Lineage: Eukaryota; Metazoa; Arthropoda; Branchiopoda; Diplostraca; Daphniidae
Exons: 3
Source: RefSeq, a predicted model, not a curated record
UUAGGGGCUGCGCGAAAUUGUGUGAAGAUGAAAGCGAAGUGGAGACUUUGAGAUGUCGCUGAACAGUGAGAGCUAAACCGGAUUACAAGGGACGGCUAUAUAUUUUUAUACGGUGAAAGAAACCGAUUUCGGCUUCGUCGUCUCAAGACUUUUCUACUAGAUACGAAUAUUCAAGCUUCAUUAUAUGGAAAGAGAUUGACCUGCUUUCGUAAACGUAAGACGACAUCGCACUCAAGUGCUAAAAGAUGGCUAGCGGCGCCGAGGUGAUUUGACCCACUUUCCAGAAAACAAGGGGUGUAAGAAAAGGAAACGAGGAUUCCAGCGACGGUCAGCGUAUUCCAGAAUGUGAAGAUAAAAAACGCAUUCAGUGAGGGGGAAAUAAAAAAUUCGGUUUCCUUUGAAAAGUGAAUGUGGCGUACGUGGGCCCUAGCAGGUGCGUCGCUCAACCAG